This is a long non-coding RNA of Hyla sarda, 285 nucleotides long. RefSeq lists it as uncharacterized. NCBI's taxonomy places the organism in Eukaryota, Metazoa, Chordata, Amphibia, Anura, Hylidae. The transcript has 3 exons. The record is from RefSeq and is a predicted model, not a curated record.
AGGAUUGUGAGUAUCUGGAAGACAAUGGGCGGGAGCAGCCAAUCCCAUCACCAGGUGGAUCCAGAUGUUCACCUGAGAGGAGCCCCCUGUCCCCCCAGGGGCGUUCAGAAGGAAAUCAUGAUGUCCCAUUGGAUAGUCAGAAUGAAAAUACGAUCGACAUUAAAAUCGAGGUUGUGGAGGAAGAAGAGGAGGAGACGUAUCUCAGCGGCGAUCGACAAAUCAAGGAAGAGGAAAUAGAUGUCGACAUCGGCGCAGGUCAGUGAGAACCGCCAAAUCCACCUAUGA